RNAcentral lists this ribosomal RNA (139 nucleotides) under uncultured bacterium. RNAcentral describes it as "partial 16S ribosomal RNA". It matches the Rfam family "Bacterial small subunit ribosomal RNA", at positions 355 to 509 of the family's 1533-position model. The record is from RNAcentral.
UGGGGAAUAUUGGGCAAUGGGCGCAAGCCUGACCCAGCAACGCCGCGUGAAGGAAGAAGGCUUUCGGUUGUAAACUUCUUUUAUUGAGGACGAAACAAAUGACGGUACUCGAUGAAUAAGCCACGGCUAACUACGUGCC